AUGCGACCCCAGGUCAGGCGGGACUACCCGCUGAAU
Molecule: ribosomal RNA, 36 nt
Filed under: Carpinus betulus (European hornbeam)
Lineage: Eukaryota; Viridiplantae; Streptophyta; Magnoliopsida; Fagales; Betulaceae
Also listed under: 1 other name
Description: partial 26S ribosomal RNA
Source: RNAcentral